CCUACGGGAGGCUGCAGUAGGGAAUAUUGCUCAAUGGGGGAAACCCUGAAGCAGCAACGCCGCGUGGAGGAUGAAGGUUUUCGGAUUGUAAACCCCUUUUGUUAGAGAAGAUAAUGACGGUAUCUAACGAAUAAGCACCGGCUAACUCCGUGCCAGCAGCCGCGGUAAUACGGAGGGUGCAAGCGUUACUCGGAAUCACUGAGCGUAAAGAGCGCGUAGGCGGGAUAGCAAGUCAGAUGUGAAAUCCUAUGGCUUAACCAUAGAACUGCAUUUGAAACUGUUAUUCUAGAGUAUGGGAGAGGUAGGUGGAAUUCGUGGUGUAGCGGUAAAAUGCGUAGAGAUCAAGAGGAACACUCAUUGCGAAGGCGGCCUGCUAGAACAUAACUGACGCUGAUGCGCGAAAGCGUGGGGAGCAAACAGGAUUAGAUACCCUAGUAGUC
This 440-nucleotide ribosomal RNA is filed under the name uncultured bacterium. Its description in RNAcentral is "partial 16S ribosomal RNA". It matches the Rfam family "Bacterial small subunit ribosomal RNA", at positions 338 to 795 of the family's 1533-position model. The record is from RNAcentral.